UGUGAGGCAAGGAUCACAAGUCACAACUGC
This 30-nucleotide non-coding RNA is filed under the name Mus musculus (house mouse). The record is from RNAcentral. Lineage: Eukaryota; Metazoa; Chordata; Mammalia; Rodentia; Muridae.